Molecule: ribosomal RNA, 506 nt
Filed under: Anophryoides haemophila
Lineage: Eukaryota; Ciliophora; Oligohymenophorea; Philasterida; Glauconematidae
Description: partial Bacterial large subunit ribosomal RNA
Rfam family: Bacterial large subunit ribosomal RNA
Source: RNAcentral
CGGUGACUGCGUACCUUUUGUAUAAUGGGUCAGCGACUUAUAUUCUGUAGCAAGGUUAACCGUAUAGGGGAGCCGCAGGGAAACCGAGUCUUAACUGGGCGUUAAGUUGCAGGGUAUAGACCCGAAACCCGGUGAUCUAGCCAUGGGCAGGUUGAAGGUUGGGUAACACUAACUGGAGGACCGAACCGACUAAUGUUGAAAAAUUAGCGGAUGACUUGUGGCUGGGGGUGAAAGGCCAAUCAAACCGGGAGAUAGCUGGUUCUCCCCGAAAGCUAUUUAGGUAGCGCCUCGUGAACUCAUCUUCGGGGGUAGAGCACUGUUUCGGCUAGGGGGUCAUCCCGACUUACCAACCCGAUGCAAACUACGAAUACCGAAGAAUGUUAUCACGGGAGACACACGGCGGGUGCUAACGUCCGUCGUGAAAAGGGAAACAACCCAGACCCACAGCUAAGGUCCCAAAUUCACUGCUAAGUGGAAAACCAUGUGGAAAGGCACAGACAGCCAGG